GCGCUGAUGGUGUAAGGCGUAGCAUGGCUGCCCGGAAACCAGAAAGUGCGGGUUCGAGUUCCGUCUGGCGCA
Non-coding RNA from Heligmosomoides polygyrus, 72 nucleotides. The record is from Rfam. Lineage: Eukaryota; Metazoa; Nematoda; Chromadorea; Rhabditida; Heligmosomidae.